RNAcentral lists this ribosomal RNA (664 nucleotides) under uncultured Lachnospiraceae bacterium. Its description in RNAcentral is "bacterial SSU rRNA". It matches the Rfam family "Bacterial small subunit ribosomal RNA", at positions 51 to 726 of the family's 1533-position model. Lineage: Bacteria; Bacillati; Bacillota; Clostridia; Lachnospirales; Lachnospiraceae. The record is from RNAcentral.
ACACAUGCAAGUCGAACGGAGCUGAGAGGAGCUUGCUUUUCUUAGCUUAGUGGCGAACGGGUGAGUAACGCGUGAGUAACCUGCCCUGGAGUGGGGGACAACAGUUGGAAACGACUGCUAAUACCGCAUAAGCCCACGGCCCGGCAUCGGGCUGAGGGAAAAGGAUUUAUUCGCUUCAGGAUGGACUCGCGUCCAAUUAGCUAGUUGGUGAGGUAACGGCCCACCAAGGCGACGAUUGGUAGCCGGACUGAGAGGUUGAACGGCCACAUUGGGACUGAGACACGGCCCAGACUCCUACGGGAGGCAGCAGUGGGGGAUAUUGCACAAUGGGGGAAACCCUGAUGCAGCGACGCCGCGUGGAGGAAGAAGGUUUUCGGAUUGUAAACUCCUGUCGUUAGGGACGAUAAUGACGGUACCUAACAAGAAAGCACCGGCUAACUACGUGCCAGCAGCCGCGGUAAAACGUAGGGUGCAAGCGUUGUCCGGAAUUACUGGGUGUAAAGGGAGCGCAGGCGGACCGGCAAGUUGGAAGUGAAAACUAUGGGCUCAACCCAUAAAUUGCUUUCAAAACUGCUGGCCUUGAGUAGUGCAGAGGUAGGUGGAAUUCCCGGUGUAGCGGUGGAAUGCGUAGAUAUCGGGAGGAACACCAGUGGCGAAGGCGACC